RNAcentral lists this ribosomal RNA (349 nucleotides) under uncultured bacterium. RNAcentral describes it as "bacterial SSU rRNA". It matches the Rfam family "Bacterial small subunit ribosomal RNA", at positions 72 to 422 of the family's 1533-position model. The record is from RNAcentral.
CCCGGGGGCAACCCUGGUGGCGAGUGGCAAACGGGUGAGUAAUGCGUCAGAACGUGCCCCGUAUUGGGGGAUAACUAGUCAAAUUAUUAUCUAAUACCGCAUACCACCUAUGGGUGAAAUCGGUUGACCUUUACCGGCCUCGCGCUAUCUUAGCGGCCUAUGUCUGAUUAACUAUUUGGCGGGGUAAAACCCCACCUGGGCUACGAUCAUUAUCUGGUCUGAUAGGACUACCACCCACACUGGAACUGAAACACAGCCCACACUCCUACAGGAGGCACCAUUGGGGAAUUUUGGACAAUGGCCUCAAGCCUGAUCCAACCAUGCCUCGUGCGUGAAGAACGCCUUCGGG